Molecule: long non-coding RNA, 2414 nt
Organism: Brachypodium distachyon (stiff brome)
Lineage: Eukaryota; Viridiplantae; Streptophyta; Magnoliopsida; Poales; Poaceae
Exons: 2
Source: RefSeq, a predicted model, not a curated record
UCAAAUUUGAGGGACAUUUUUGCAAAUUUUCAUUUGAACUGGAAGGUGGGGAAGUUGCGACAUCUUUUUCCAUACAGAGGGAAUACUAUAACAUACCGUUUACCCAUUGUUCACCGCCCACUCAAUAUGGACCGUCCGAUGAAAAUACUAUCAACGUCCUGGAUUAAUCCUCCGGAUGAAUGCUCUGCUCCACGCCGCCGCUGCACGAUCGCGGCAGUUCCAAGCAAAAAACCCGGGUCGCCCCUCCUCCUUCCCCUCUCCCCAAAUUCCACACUUCCUCGCCGCUGCUUUUGGUGCGCCGCCUUCUCCUUUCUAGCUUCCCCUGGCAUCGCUGGAGAUAAUCUUUGUGGAGAGCGCCACGCGGCUUGAUCUCGUCGAUGACCUGCAACUGGUGGCCGGCGGCGACGGGCAGAGUUAGAAAGGGGCGGCGAGGUGAUGAGGGGAGAUGAGGAUGCGGCAGAAGGCAUCCCGUCCCGCAGUCCAGCGGUUCUUCUCCCAGCGACGGAACUCACCAAUCCUCCAUUUUCUCUACCCGCGCGGGCGCCCGGCCCAGCGGUUCCAACCCCGGAAUUCUUCUCACGCUCGGGGUAUGGCGCGCAGGAGGAAUGUCGCGGCGGGGCGGCCUCACAGGCCCUGGUUGCGGUGGUCUCCGAGAGGGGGCUGGAGUACUUCCACGGUGUUCGCCUUCGUAGAUCACUGGCGCGGCCUUGGCACGGCGGCCGGCGCCGCCCACGCGGCUGCCUUCUCCCUAAUCAUCGCCGCCUGCGUCUGUGUUUGGUUGUCCAACAGCGACCUUCUCCUAGGCACGCGCACCAAAGAGGGUCAGAUCGAUUUUGAGGCUUGACAAGAUGGAUAAUGUUAGUCAGAAAUUUCAACAUCGACAAAAUUGUUUAAUCAUGCAUUUUCUGUGUGUACAACAAAUCUGAAGACCCAAAGCUUUAUUGCAAUGUUCCAACCAUGACCUGACAAACAUCUGAAGAUCUAAGCAAGCCAUGACCUUUUUUUCUUGAUCUCAACGGUCAGGCUCUGAUUGGCCCCUCUCCCGUAGGAGCAGUGAACAACAAGAUGUCAAGGAAAACGAGGUACUCUACUACAACCAUACGUUGCAAGUUACACAGUCCUUGGUGCAUCAAACUUUUGAUAGAACCUAAGUCGUAUUGGUGAAGUACCUGGGAGAUGCCUUAUAAACUUUCUGUAUUCAUCUUGACUCGUCAUUGGUGCAUCAAACUUUUGCUAUGCUCAUUUCAUUACGGCUUGCAUUUUCUUGAGAAUACUUUGUGUAUUCAUCUUUGAUUAUAAACUAAGAAUUCACCUUCAUUACCAUUUAUUUGUUGGUCAGAGGAUAAAUUGAGUUUGACCCGGUACCAACAUGGAUUUUCUUGUAAUCUAUUGCUACACACACACACACACACACACACACACACACACACACACACGUAUAACUGAACUCCCUACAACUUAUCCAAAGAAAUGAUUUAUCUAAGAACAUCUGAUGAUGGAUUGUAUACAUAUUUGUCACAUCUGAUCCAAGUAACUACAAAGUAAAGACAAUACUACCAAUAUAAACGUGCACCGAGGAUUUCGUCCCUGCAGGAUUUACUUUGCAAUUCGAAGUGAUUUGACUGAUUGCAGCCCAGAUUAUUGAACAAUGGAGACCAGUUUGAGAAUAGCAGCAUGGUACUUUGAUUGGCUUUUCACUCACUUCUAAAUACCUCCUGACUCGUCAAAAGAUUUAAAUUAACAAACUUGUGGAUUACAUAUAUGAACCUAUUGAUGAAAUAUGGUGAGAGAUGCUCCACACAUUGAUUAGAAUAUCUCGAUGAGGGUACAACAAUGUAGUACUUUCUAAAUGUUAUGUUUAGUUCUUCUCUACUUUUCCUUCCUCAAAUUCUGCAAUUUUAAUUUUUGGUAUAUUAUCUAACUGGACUUGUAUACUUCACUGCAGAGAAAAGGAGAAAAAUUGGAUGCAAGCCUUUUAUACCUUGUUUUCACUUCGUGUUUUGGUUUUACCCCUCCAUUUCUUUUCCUAUAAUGGUAGAGGUUGUAACAAUCACACAUGAAUAGAUAUGCAGGUUUCCUUAGUGUGUCUUUCUCUUCAGUGAUCUCUUACACUAUUUAUUCCUUAUUUUCUUACUUUCAGUUAUGCUUGUGUUUCUCUUCAGUGAUCUCUUACACUAUUUAUUCCUUAUUUUCUUACUUUCAGUUAUGCUUCAAUGAUCCUCGUGCAGACAAACAUCAACAAGAGGUUUGUUGGAGAAGGUCAUGCAUGAGAGCACUGUUGGUAUUCAUCUUCUAAGUUUAAGUCUGUACGUUACGUCAUUUGGUCAAAAUUGUAUUACAUCUGAUAUAUUUCUUCAUGUGAUCGUUAUGUGAGGAGCAUGCAAUGCAAGAUAAGAGUUCCGUUUAAUUCGCAA